CGUAUCUAGAGAGGGUGGAAGCAGCUCAUCAGCUGUAUUUAUUUAUUUUUGAGACUUAUUACUUUUUACGUACCGUAUCAGUAAGUAUUAAUUUCUAUCUUUUAUCACGCAAAUGUAUCGAAUUUUUCUUCUUAUUUUGCAACAUUAGCCUAUUUUCAUAAAAUAUAUGGCUUAAUAAUUGAUUAUGAUGUAUAAUAUAUUGGUAGAAAUAUAUUCAUAAUCUUCCACCGACCUAUUGUUUUCGUCACUGAAAACUUUUGAGGGUCUCUCUGGGGGUGCCAUGGCACUCCUAUCACCUCAGCUACUUGCGGCACUGGGUAUUAUACAAUAUCUAAUAUAAAUAAUAGAGUUUCGUACCUCGGAAGCGAGUCUCAUUAAUGUAAAAAAACGAUGGCGCACGCGCAUCGUGGUAUAAUGGCUAAUCAAUUUAUUUUACGACUGUAUAAAUACAAACGACGACAAAGGAAUCCGAAUGAUAAUCAAAUGAGUUACAACCUACCCGGUUGUUGUUUACGAAAUGAAAUCAAACGCAUAUUAUUAUAUGAGUAGAUGACGAAAAUUGAUCGGAAUUUG
Molecule: non-coding RNA, 573 nt
Organism: Cinara cedri
Lineage: Eukaryota; Metazoa; Arthropoda; Insecta; Hemiptera; Aphididae
Source: the annotation of a GenBank genome assembly